GUGAGGAAUAUUGGACAAUGGGCGCAAGCCUGAUCCAGCCAUGCCGCGUGCAGGAAGACGCAUCUAUGGUGUGUAAACUGCUUUUGUACGGGAAGAAACACUCCCUCGUGAGGGAGCUUGACGGUACCGUAAGAAUAAGGAUCGGCUAACUCCGUGCCAGCAGCCGCGGUAAUACGGAGGAUCCAAGCGUUAUCCGGAAUCAUUGGGUUUAAAGGGUCCGUAGGCGGUUUAAUAAGUCAGUGGUGAAAGCCCAUCGCUCAACGAUGGAACGGCCAUUGAUACUGUUAGACUUGAAUUACAAGGAAGUAACUAGAAUAUGUAGUGUAGCGGUGAAAUGCUUAGAUAUUACAUGGAAUACCAAUUGCGAAGGCAGGUUACUAAACCACUACUGACGCUCAUGCACGAAGGCGUGGGGAUCAAACAGGAUUAGAUACCCUAGUAGUCC
RNAcentral lists this ribosomal RNA (445 nucleotides) under uncultured bacterium. RNAcentral describes it as "partial 16S ribosomal RNA". It matches the Rfam family "Bacterial small subunit ribosomal RNA", at positions 354 to 796 of the family's 1533-position model. The record is from RNAcentral.